GGAAGUAAAAGUCAUAACAAGGUUUCCGUAGGUGAACCUGCGGAAGGAUCAUUAAAAGAUUUAGCAUAUUCUUCUGAAUAUACUUCAUUAACCCAUUCCGAGUACCUUACCCGUUGCUUCCGCGAGGCUGUCCUCACGGCCCUUUGAAGAUUUAUCUUUGGAGAGUCCUUGCGGGAGGUAUACAAUAAACUCUUGCAUUACCAUGUCAUCUGUCUGAAUCUGUUUAAAACAAAUAUUAAAACUUUCAACAACGGAUCUCUUGGUUCUC
This 268-nucleotide unclassified non-coding RNA is filed under the name plant metagenome. RNAcentral describes it as "partial contains small subunit ribosomal RNA, internal transcribed spacer 1, and 5.8S ribosomal RNA". The stretch from base 1 to 54 matches the Rfam family "Eukaryotic small subunit ribosomal RNA", at positions 1778 to 1831 of the family's 1831-position model. The record is from RNAcentral.